Small nucleolar RNA from Peromyscus eremicus (cactus mouse), 132 nucleotides. RefSeq annotates it as small nucleolar RNA SNORA68. NCBI's taxonomy places the organism in Eukaryota, Metazoa, Chordata, Mammalia, Rodentia, Cricetidae. The transcript has a single exon. The record is from RefSeq and is a predicted model, not a curated record.
CUGGCACCCAACCCAAGAACUGCCGCUGCCCUGUAGCGGCUGUUUAAACGGUGGUGCGCACAGCAAAGGGGCUUCGUCGCCUUUGGGGGGCUGUGCGGUGCCCCCCAGAGUGAAUCAGGAGGUUCUACAGUC